This 4486-nucleotide long non-coding RNA is filed under the name Solanum tuberosum (potato). RNAcentral's name for it is "long non-coding RNA (STUB_LNC004272)". Lineage: Eukaryota; Viridiplantae; Streptophyta; Magnoliopsida; Solanales; Solanaceae. The record is from RNAcentral.
CUUGACCAAAAUUCUUCUUCCCCAGUCCAGGCAUUCCAACAGUUGAUAACAUCUAGAUCUGCCAAUCCUUUGUAUUUUUGUUCUUCUGUUUUUCACAUGACAUCUUCAAAACCCACUAUGAGCUUCAUUAUGAGCUAUGAAAUGGUGAGUUUUGAUGAUGUCAUGCCUAAAAUAGGAUUAAUGAAAGUAUUAGUAAAAAGGUGUUCAAAUCUGGAGGUUAUGUUAAGCUGGUGGUAUGCUUUGACUGGGAAAGAUGACUUAGGUCAAAAUAAAUAUAUCCAGAUCUGGCACAAUCUUGUGUUUGCUAAUGGUGAGAUUACUAUACUCAGUGAAAUAAUGAUGAAUUAGUAUAGUAGCUAAGUCUUAAUGAUGAAUUAGCAGCUAACUUUUAUUGUAAAUAAGAUAUACGAAGAAAAAGCCUAUUUGACAAUGAAAAUGACCAAACAUAAUAGUAUAGGCACCUUAGAUUUUGCAACAUGAGUGAAGUACAAGCAUAAAUUUUGUCAAGUCUGAGAGUGUUUUCAAGACUUUUGUUUGUUUUUUAAUUAAGAGUUUCGUGCUCCUACCAGAGUAAAAUUGAGAUUAUUUUCUAUGGCAUGUGACAUAUCAGGUGUAUUUGAAUUCAGUUAGUCAACUUCGGUGGAUGUUGUGUAUUUAAGUUUAGUUAGUUGAGUAUAGCGGGUGUUUAUAAGGCUGUCAAUGGUUUGAGAAUGAAACUAAUAAUUUGCGUGAAGUUUGGGUGUUUUCAAGCAGCUUACUGAUAAUAAUUUGGAAAAUAGUACUGAUUUACUUGGUCAAGAAAAUACAUUCAGAUCGGCACAAUCUUUAGUGUUACUAGCUAUUGUACAUGAUGCUAUUAGUGAGAUUACUUGGCUCAGUGAAGUCCUAAUGAUGAAUUAGUUGCUAAUCUUGUGUGUUUCUAACUAUUCUACAUGAUGCUAUUAUGAUAUUACUAGACUCAUUGAAGUCCUAAUGAUGAAUUAGUAGCUAAUCUUGUGUUAUGCUAGCUAUUCUACAUGAUUGCUAUUAAUGAGAUUGCUAGGCUCAGUGAAGUCCUAAUGAUGAAUUAGUUGCUAAUCUUGUGUGUUUCUAACUAUUCUACAUGAUGCUAUUAUGAUAUUACUAGACUCAUUGAAGUCCUAAUGAUGAAUUAGUAGCUAAUCUUGUGUUAUGCUAGCUAUUCUACAUGAUUGCUAUUAAUGAGAUUGCUAGGCUCAGUGAAGUCCUAAUGAUGAAUUAGCGUGUUACUAGCUAUUCUAUAUGAUGCUAUUAAUGAUAUCACUAGACUCAGUGAAGUCCUAAUGAUGAUUUAGUAGCUCAUCUUGUGUGUUACUAGCUAUUCUACAUGAUGCUAUUAGUGAGAUUACUAGACUCAUUGAAGUCCUAAUGAUGAAUUAGUAGCUAGUCUUGUGUGUUACUAGCUGUUCUGCAUGAUGCUAUUAAUGAGAUCACUAGACUUAGUGAAGUCCUAAUGAUGAAUUAGUAGCUAAAAUGAAUAAACUUUUAUUGUAAGUUAGGUAUACGAAGGAAAACUGUAUCUGACAAUGAAGGUGACCAAAGAUAUUAGUAAGAAGUAACUUACUGAUAAUAAUUUGGGAAAUUGUACAUGUAAUUACCUGAUUAACUUUGGUUAAGGGCCAAAGUUGGAUACCUUUAGAGAUAACAAAAAAAAACUUGUGGAAGGUUACCUCAUUUAGUUGUUCUGGUAUCAGGUUUGAUGUAAUACAUCUUAGUUAAGAAUUUAUCCUAUCAUUUUAAGUUGUGCUUUCUGUAUUUUUGGAGGAUUUUUAGAAAACAAAACACGAAGUUUCAAAAUCUGGUAAAGUCAAAGCAAGCCUAGGAGAGUUCCUGCUGUUUAUCCCUUUAUUCUCAAGAAGAUAAAUUCGUAAAAUGGAGUUCAUCAUGGUCACUUGCAGCUAGCUAUAUUCAGGGAUGCUAGCAUUGUCUUCUAAAAAAUGUCACACAAAUUGCUUCGUCUUCAAAUAUCUUUCAGAAGCUCCAAGUUUUUCAGCAUUACUGGAUUUGGAAUUCACCCUUGACUUAUCUUGAUGUUCAGGUUUUUGAGGAACGCAGGUUACCAUUCCUAGCCAAUGUUUUGAACCUUGAAACUUUGAUAGUUAAAAGAAUUGGAGGUAGACUAAUAUUACAAGGUAUCUUUUGAAGAUGGCUAAGUUGUGACGCUCUGCAUCUUUUUCUUGAGCAGAUGAUGCAAACUUGAUCUCAGAGAAGAUAGUGUUUAGAAACUGAGAUGUAGAUUUUCAACAUAUAACGGCUUUGUUCCCUACGUUCAACAACCUUAAUAAUGUUGAAAUGCCCAAUGUUUCUUGUGGUGGUACAGAGUUGUGAGUCUAUGACCUCAAGUUCCCUCUAAAUCAGAUAUGGAGCUAGCAUUUUAAGUUUAUGAGUUUUGCAUUGUAGAAAACACAGCUUAGUUGGUGCUUGACAAGUUAUUUAUACAUAUUAAGUGGAUUUUAAACGCAACUACACGGUUUUAGUCUAAGCUAUUGGGUUCUACCAAACCCAUAGGCAAAACUGUAGCUCUGCGUCUAGUUUAGAUCUUGUGAAGUUAGCAGUAUCCAACACUUUGUGUAUACAUACUUCAUGCUUCCUAAUCUUAGAGUUCGAACUGUCAUAUAUAUGUGAUUUCCUUCAAGACAAAUUCUUGAAACAAGAAAAUACUACUUCAGAAUGGAGUAUCCUGGACAUCGCCUAUUCUUGCGUAGAACAUUUGAUUUUUCAUACAUGUACUCAACUUAAGGUGGUCCAUAUCUUUUUGGGACAUUUCUACUUUGAAGGCCGUUGAUCAGGGCAAAACAAGUUGAAGAUGAAAAUUUCAGGUAACAAGCUGCUCUUCUGAAGUAGAUAAUGCUCCAACCCUAAAAUGGCAUUUUAAAUUGCUUGUCUGGUAACCUCUUGAGUCUCAAGGAAUGCUAGUCUUAUUUUGAGUCCUCGUUAAAUGGUUUCGUUUGAUACUUGCUCCUUGGGUAUUUGUUUUGGUACCUAGCAUGUUUGGAGCCUGAAUAUGUUUCUGUUAAAUUUCUAACUUUGUUUGUACUUUCUUGGCUUAGGCUUAACAUUGAACAUGAAAUGGAAAGUCUAUCAAUUUAAAAGGACUUUCUUUUAGCUACCGUCCCAAACAAAAGAGAUUAGCCUCUUGAUUGAUCGAUUAAUUGGAUCGAAGUACGAAGGGGCUGAUUGAAAUCUGAGAUCAGUCCAAGACUAAGGAUGAGCAACUAGCUGCUGCAGGAUUGGAUGUCUAUCUAUCUCACCACACUCUGCUACUCCUAUAAAGGCCGACGGAAGGAAUGUUCUGCUCAUAUUUCUUAAGGCUUGUUACUGCAGCGCUCAUUAACCCCUUCUGCUUCUUCCAUUAAAAAAAAAAAGGUAGUUACUUCAGCUACCAGAGUUGGACCUUAUUCACACUUGUAAGAUAUACUAUCAUUGCUCUUGAAGGUAGCUAGAUCAUGGGAAUCUUAGUAGUCCGAACUUUUCCUUGUUGGUGAGGGUUUAAUUUUCAACCUUGUAACUCUCUCUGUUCCCCUUCCCGCUGUGGUUUGACAUAAUUAGUUUUCUGGUGUUUUGAGAAGUGUCUACAAAUUGUUUUGAUGUUUUAACCAAGCAUGGAGAAAUUGCUUCAACAACAACAACAUACCCUGUGAAAUCCCAUUAAGUGGGGUCAGCGGAGGGUAGAAUGUACACAGACCUUACUACUACCUCGUGGAGGUAUAUAUCUGGUUGUCACCAAAGGGUGUUCCUGCCAUAUUCAUUUAGGGCCUUUAAUAUGGCUCAGUUUUCUUGUUGUCUGAUUCCAUUGGGAGCUCUAGCAUGAAUAUUUUUAGUGAUAUUGAGAGACAUAGUUGAUAAUGAAUAAGAUAUUGACGUUAACCUGUGUUGUUCUUCACAAGCAACAUUUUGUAAAUCUGCAGAUGGUGACAUCUCGUAUUGUACUUAAUGGUUCGUUUUAGUGUAAGUGUAGGUUCAUGCCUUCGUUCAUCGUUCAUCUAUAGGUGCAUUUUGAUACAGAUUGUUGUAUGGCGUCGCGAUUUGCAUCAUGUUUUUGAAUGCUUUGCUAUUUAGCAGCCAGUGAUCCACUUCUGGAUUUGGCUGCAUCUAUAAAUGCAUGUUUUGGUUCUGUUUAAUACACAUUCCUCCUUGUACAUUUUACUGCAAAUUCCAAAUAUAAAGUCAAGUUGUAUGGCUUAUUUAUUUUUUUGCUUGUUUAUAUUAGGUAGAAGAAAAUGGAAGCUUGUACAACACCAAAUAUAGGUAACAAUGAUGGGAGUCUCAAGAUAUUCAUGUUGUUUUCCUCGGGACGGAAGCGGAUUCAGAAUUUGAAGUUUAUAGUAUCCUAUAAUGAUCUCAAGUGAGUAACUGAAUUCAUAGUCAAAUAACUAUAGUCAUUCAGUGAAUUCCUUAAUACAUAUAUAGGGUUCGAAUAUAAGUUAUUGAAUUUCCGUAAACCCAUGGAGAAACAAACUUCUAUUCC